RNAcentral lists this ribosomal RNA (468 nucleotides) under uncultured bacterium. Its description in RNAcentral is "partial 16S ribosomal RNA". It matches the Rfam family "Bacterial small subunit ribosomal RNA", at positions 28 to 507 of the family's 1533-position model. The record is from RNAcentral.
GACGAACGCUGGCGGCGUGCUUAACACAUGCAAGUCGAACGGAAAGGCCCUGCUUUUGUGGGGUGCUCGAGUGGCGAACGGGUGAGUAACACGUGAGUAACCUGCCCUUGACUUUGGGAUAACUUCAGGAAACUGGGGCUAAUACCGGAUAGGAGCUCCUGCUGCAUGGUGGGGGUUGGAAAGUUUCGGCGGUUGGGGAUGGACUCGCGGCUUAUCAGCUUGUUGGUGGGGUAGUGGCUUACCAAGGCUUUGACGGGUAGCCGGCCUGAGAGGGUGACCGGCCACAUUGGGACUGAGAUACGGCCCAGACUCCUACGUGAGGCAGCAGUGGGGAAUAUUGCACAAUGGGCGGAAGCCUGAUGCAGCAACGCCGCGUGCGGGAUGACGGCCUUCGGGUUGUAAACCGCUUUCGCCUGUGACGAAGCGUGAGUGACGGUAACGGGUAAAGAAGCACCGGCUAACUACGUG